UCGGAGACGGUGCUUGUGCGGGCGGUGAUGCGACACGCGUAUUCGAAGGACUCUCGGCAACGGAUAUCUCGGCUCUUGCAUCGAUNNNNNNNNNNAGCGAAAUGCGAUACUUGGUGUGAAUUGCAGAAUCCCGUGAACCAUCGAGUCUUUGAACGCAAGUUGCGCCCGAAGCCAUUAGGCUGAGGGCACGGCUGCCUGGGUGUCGCCCAUCGUUGCCCCAGUGCCUUGGCCUCAUGCUAGGGACCGAGCUGGGCGAAUGCUGGCUUCCCGUGAUCAAAGCCUCACGGUUGGUUGAAAAUUGAGUCCAUGGUGGGUGGCACUGUGGCGUAUGGUGGUUGAG
Molecule: ribosomal RNA, 340 nt
Filed under: Crotalaria multiflora
Lineage: Eukaryota; Viridiplantae; Streptophyta; Magnoliopsida; Fabales; Fabaceae
Description: 5.8S ribosomal RNA
Rfam family: 5.8S ribosomal RNA (bases 49-205)
Source: RNAcentral